Nymphaea colorata (pocket water lily) is the source of this 986-nucleotide long non-coding RNA. RefSeq lists it as uncharacterized. The record is from RefSeq and is a predicted model, not a curated record. The transcript is spliced from 3 exons. Lineage: Eukaryota; Viridiplantae; Streptophyta; Magnoliopsida; Nymphaeales; Nymphaeaceae.
UGCCUGGGUGAUUUCAGUUUUUUCGGAAAAAACUGGACGGGCGGGUGGAAUUCCACCCGCCCGCCUAAACAUGCGUCAAACGGGGUGAAAUUCACCCCGUUUAACGCGUAACGUGAGCGGGUGGAAUUCCACACCGCACUCGAGACUCAUCCCCUCCCCCCCGCUCGACUUUCCCUCUCAUUUCGUCCCUCUGCCCGCAGCUCCUCCUCUCGCUCGAAGAGUACGCUUGAAGAGUAGGCCUGCAUCUCCCGCUCCCACCGUCGCCGGUCCGCCGUCGCCGCACUGACGGUCGCCGCUCCGCUUCUCUGCCGGUGAUCUUUCCCCCUUUCUCUCUUGCUCUCUGCUGCUCUCAUCUUCUCCCGCGUCAGUGCCCUAAUCGGUGGCCUAAGUUCUGUAGCACAGCAAACAGCUUCUCGCUCGCAGGGAAGACAGGGCUGCAGCCGCCAACCCCACGUUCGCCGCUCCUCCGAUCCGCCAUCGCUGUUGCUUUUGCCCUCGUAUUCUCAACUUCUGGUCACGAGGAAUAUACAACAGUUGGGAGCAGUGCCAACCAUUAGUGUAUCGCUACAAGGGUGCCCUGUUCAGAUCAUUUCAUAACUUUGAAGCAACUCAAUAUCACAUGAAUGAAUAUCUGCACAACAAAUACGGUGUGCAAUUAUGUAGGCCAUUGGACAUUGUCGAUGUCAACGCAACGGAAGAGAAAGAAGUGAUGAAGACAAAUGGACGGACUCACAUUCCACUUUUCUUGAUUGCUUGUUUUGUUACUACUUGGUUUCUUUGUUGGAUUGGUUAAACUUAUGUACUGGAUGGGACACAUAUGUUAUUUGGUUCUUGUUUUAAACUUUGUUGGAUCUGUACUUGUUAAACUUAUGUACUGGAUGGGACACACAUGUUAUUUGGUUCUUGUUUUAAAGUUUGUUGGAUCUGUACUCGUUAAACUUUCAUACAGGUUGUAGUCAAACUUAUGUACUGGAUGGGACAACCAG